This is a non-coding RNA of Danio rerio (zebrafish), 721 nucleotides long. Lineage: Eukaryota; Metazoa; Chordata; Actinopteri; Cypriniformes; Danionidae. The record is from RefSeq and is a predicted model, not a curated record.
GUUGAAGGUCACACGCUGACAAAGCACCACAGAUCUGACUCUGACAGCUCCAGAUGUCCUGCAGUGAUUCACGGCUGCUGAACGCCAGGCCGGACACUGUUAAUGCCACCGGGAUUAUCGCAGCCGUCCCGGCGAACCAGACUCGCAGAUGCCGUAAAUCUCCUGUCACGACGUCCACUUCCAUUAGCCGUUUUUCAUCGCUCACUUAAGACGGUGUCGAGGGAGUGUUUCUUCGCCAUAACCUGAAGUGCUGAGAAAGAGGGGAAAACUUCAAGCUGAAGUGAACAUCACAAGCUCUGCGAGUCUCCAGCCUGCGGUGGAUGAAAACCCCGAGUGGAAAGGAGAAGACGCUGCACAUUCACAAGGAUAACACAAAAUCCUUCGAGAUGAACCAAGAGCGUGUGUUGGAUCUGUCUGAACGCUACUGUACAAGAUCAAACCCAACAGAAAGCAGCAGAAAACCCCCUCGUCCUGUCAGUCUUCAAUCCACAGCAGAUUCCCAAAGCUUUCUGGAGGAUUUCUGAUUUAAUGCUGGAACAUGAGGAACACUGACUGAACCUGGACUUCAGAGAUAAGAGCCGUCAAAACUAACCUUAGUUUUUAUCAGCCAGCCAGGAUUAAACUCACACACACCACACACCAGACCGGAUGUGAUGAGCAGAGGGAGAUAUCCAGGUAAAUAUACAGUUGAAGUCAGAAUUAUUAGCCCUCCUGUAUAAUU